UACGUAGGGGGCGAGCGUUGUCCGGAUUUACUGGGCGUAAAGCGCGUGUAGGCGGCCCGUUAAGUGGGGUGUGAAAGCCCGGGGCUCAACCCCGGGACGCCGCUUCAAACUGGCGGGCUUGAGGACGGAAGAGGGGAGUGGAAUUCCUGGUGUAGCGGUGAAAUGCGUAGAGAUCUGGAAGAACACCAAAGGCGAAGGCAGCGUCCUGGCGAGUCACUGACGCUCAGGUGCGAAAGCGUGGGGAGCGAUCCGG
This 253-nucleotide ribosomal RNA is filed under the name uncultured bacterium. Its description in RNAcentral is "partial 16S ribosomal RNA". It matches the Rfam family "Bacterial small subunit ribosomal RNA", at positions 524 to 776 of the family's 1533-position model. The record is from RNAcentral.